CCCGCCGGCGUGGGCGACUGGUGCGCUCGCUCGCGCUGGAGCUCGUCCUAGCCCACCUGGUGCGGUGCGGCUCGCCAUGGCCUGCCGUCGUACGGUGCGGCUGCGACCCUGUCUCUUCCUGUUGAGCACGAAGGAGCCUUCUCAUUCUUGCAACCUACGUACACACAGAGAACGAAAGAGUACUCAUAUCAUACAGAAAAUGCAUGUAAGAUUGUAUCUUCAGGCACACAUAUAUCUUCAACUGAAGCAAAGCAAAUUCAUACAUAUGCACAUGAUAUCCCUGCAAGGAUGUGACAAGUGUAUCGAGAAUUAAUAUCAAGCAAGAAAAAAGGAUGAGUUGCAGAUUUAGUGAGGUGAGAUAGGGCUGACCUGUAACUCACCAAUCGCUGAAACAAAACUUGUGAUCAACUUCCUCCCUUUAGUAACAUCCA
This 431-nucleotide long non-coding RNA is filed under the name Triticum aestivum (bread wheat). RNAcentral's name for it is "long non-coding RNA (TAES_LNC011091)". The record is from RNAcentral. Lineage: Eukaryota; Viridiplantae; Streptophyta; Magnoliopsida; Poales; Poaceae.